This 377-nucleotide unclassified non-coding RNA is filed under the name uncultured Frankiales bacterium. RNAcentral describes it as "contains 16S-23S intergenic spacer region". Lineage: Bacteria; Bacillati; Actinomycetota; Actinomycetes; Frankiales. The record is from RNAcentral.
UCCGAGUUGACCCCGGCAGUCUCCUAUGAGUCCCCGCCAUCACGCGCUGGCAACAUAGAACGAGGGUUGCGCUCGUUGCGGGACUUAACCCAACAUCUCACGACACGAGCUGACGACAACCAUGCACCACCUGUACACUGCCCUUACGGACCCCCCAUCUCUGGGAGUUUUCAGCGUAUGUCAAGCCUUGGUAAGGUUCUUCGCGUUGCGUCGAAUUAAGCCGCAUGCUCCGCCGCUUGUGCGGGCCCCCGUCAAUUCCUUUGAGUUUUAGCCUUGCGGCCGUACUCCCCAGGCGGGGCGCUUAAUGCGUUAGCUGCGGCACGGAGAUCGUGGAAAGACCCCCACACCUAGCGCCCAACGUUUACGGCGUGGACUAC